This 168-nucleotide ribosomal RNA is filed under the name Munnozia pinnulosa. Its description in RNAcentral is "5.8S ribosomal RNA". It matches the Rfam family "5.8S ribosomal RNA". From Rfam's summary of the family: 5.8S ribosomal RNA (5.8S rRNA) is a component of the large subunit of the eukaryotic ribosome. It is transcribed by RNA polymerase I as part of the 45S precursor that also contains 18S and 28S rRNA. The record is from RNAcentral. Lineage: Eukaryota; Viridiplantae; Streptophyta; Magnoliopsida; Asterales; Asteraceae.
ACUCUCGGCAACGGAUAUCUCGGCUCACGCAUCGAUGAAGAACGUAGCAAAAUGCGAUACUUGGUGUGAAUUGCAGAAUCCCGUGAACCAUCGAGUUUUUGAACGCAAGUUGCGCCCAAAGCCUUUUGGUUGAGGGCACGUCUGCCUGGGCGUCACACAUCACGUCGC